AUGAACGUGCAGCACAGACAGCGUUCCCUCCCAUCCCGACCCCUGCAGGCCUGCACCCCCUCCUUCCCUCUCUCCUCCUUUCUCCUCCCCAGCCACCAAUCCGCCUUCUCGUCUCGCUGCUUCGUCUCCUCCACCGCCUUGUCUCCGGCAGCCCUACCUCACAACACGUUUCUCGAGGAGCAACGCGAGCAAGGCCAGCAGGAGUGGAUCGAGGCUUCGCACGCUGGCUCCGUCAUUUGCUUCGCCACGUUUUGGAUUCACGCCGCCGUGUGUGAUGGUUCUAGAUCGGCGCAGGUCGUCGUCGCGGAAUAUCAGGGGCGGUGGGUUCUUCACAUCGAGGGUUGGCAAGCUGGGGAGGGUCAAGAGGCUGACAGAGCGUGUUUAGAGCAGCGAGGUCGGCUGUAG
This 405-nucleotide ribosomal RNA is filed under the name Triticum aestivum (bread wheat). RNAcentral's name for it is "partial small subunit ribosomal RNA". The record is from RNAcentral. Lineage: Eukaryota; Viridiplantae; Streptophyta; Magnoliopsida; Poales; Poaceae.